Molecule: ribosomal RNA, 871 nt
Filed under: Pseudomonas sp. JV414
Lineage: Bacteria; Pseudomonadati; Pseudomonadota; Gammaproteobacteria; Pseudomonadales; Pseudomonadaceae
Description: partial 23S ribosomal RNA
Rfam family: Bacterial large subunit ribosomal RNA
Source: RNAcentral
UAGACGGAAAGACCCCGUGAACCUUUACUAUAGCUUUGCACUGGACUUUGAAUUUGCUUGUGUAGGAUAGGUGGGAGGCUUUGAAGCGUGGACGCCAGUUCGCGUGGAGCCAACCUUGAAAUACCACCCUGGCAACUUUGAGGUUCUAACUCAGGUCCGUUAUCCGGAUCGAGGACAGUGUAUGGUGGGUAGUUUGACUGGGGCGGUCUCCUCCUAAAGAGUAACGGAGGAGUACGAAGGUGCGCUCAGACCGGUCGGAAAUCGGUCGUAGAGUAUAAAGGCAAAAGCGCGCUUGACUGCGAGACAGACACGUCGAGCAGGUACGAAAGUAGGUCUUAGUGAUCCGGUGGUUCUGUAUGGAAGGGCCAUCGCUCAACGGAUAAAAGGUACUCCGGGGAUAACAGGCUGAUACCGCCCAAGAGUUCAUAUCGACGGCGGUGUUUGGCACCUCGAUGUCGGCUCAUCACAUCCUGGGGCUGAAGCCGGUCCCAAGGGUAUGGCUGUUCGCCAUUUAAAGUGGUACGCGAGCUGGGUUUAGAACGUCGUGAGACAGUUCGGUCCCUAUCUGCCGUGGACGUUUGAGAUUUGAGAGGGGCUGCUCCUAGUACGAGAGGACCGGAGUGGACGAACCUCUGGUGUUCCGGUUGUCACGCCAGUGGCAUUGCCGGGUAGCUAUGUUCGGAAUAGAUAACCGCUGAAAGCAUCUAAGCGGGAAACUAGCCUCAAGAUGAGAUCUCACUGGGACCUUGAGUCCCCUGAAGGGCCGUCGAAGACUACGACGUUGAUAGGUUGGGUGUGUAAGCGCUGUGAGGCGUUGAGCUAACCAAUACUAAUUGCCCGUGAGGCUUGACCAUAUAACACCCAAGCAAUU